UGCAGUACAGGAGGAUGGAUUUUGAAGAAUUUUGUGCUGCUGCAUUAAGUGUUCAUCAGCUUGAGGCUUUUGAUCGUUGGGAACAACAUGCACGUUGUGCCUAUGAAAUCUUUGAGAAGGAAGGCAAUAGGGCCAUUAUGAUAGAAGAAUUAGCUUCGGAACUUGGUCUUAGCCCUUCGGUUCCUGUCCAUGCUGUUCUACAUGACUG
Molecule: unclassified non-coding RNA, 208 nt
Filed under: Hevea brasiliensis (rubber tree)
Lineage: Eukaryota; Viridiplantae; Streptophyta; Magnoliopsida; Malpighiales; Euphorbiaceae
Source: RNAcentral